Molecule: ribosomal RNA, 162 nt
Filed under: Microtis orbicularis
Lineage: Eukaryota; Viridiplantae; Streptophyta; Magnoliopsida; Asparagales; Orchidaceae
Description: 5.8S ribosomal RNA
Rfam family: 5.8S ribosomal RNA
About the family: 5.8S ribosomal RNA (5.8S rRNA) is a component of the large subunit of the eukaryotic ribosome.
Source: RNAcentral
CAUGACUCUCGACAUUGGAUAUCUUGGCUCUUGCAUCGAUGAAGAGCGCAGCGAAAUGUGAUAUAUGGUGCGAAUUGCAGAAUCCCGUGAACCAUCGAGUUUUUGAACGCAAGUUGUGCCCUAGGUCAAUUGGCUGAGGGCACGCCCGCCUGGGCGUCAUGU